This is a non-coding RNA of Vicia faba (fava bean), 324 nucleotides long. The record is from the annotation of a GenBank genome assembly. Lineage: Eukaryota; Viridiplantae; Streptophyta; Magnoliopsida; Fabales; Fabaceae.
AUGAGAUUCCAUACAGCUAAAAAGAAUAGACCAAAUAAUGAUUGGUGUUUUUCUUCUUGCAUUUUUACCUUUCUUGCCCCUCACUCCAACCUAGAAAUCCUUGGGAAGAGAAGCACAUCACCACAACAUGGUGGGAAUGAGGAAAGUUCCAUUCUUCCAACAUGCAAUAAUAAAAACACACUCAUGACUACAGCACAUCACAAUAUCCAACCCACUAUUCCACCCAUAACCUUCCAUGGAAAUAUUUUAAAAAGUAAAUUAGUUGAUUCAUUAAUAUUUAUUAAACAAAAUAAAAAAAUGAUAUUUUUGAGAAUAGGGUUGUAG